Nothobranchius furzeri (turquoise killifish) is the source of this 1083-nucleotide long non-coding RNA. RefSeq lists it as uncharacterized. Lineage: Eukaryota; Metazoa; Chordata; Actinopteri; Cyprinodontiformes; Nothobranchiidae. The record is from RefSeq and is a predicted model, not a curated record.
UUAGCCGUAGUUCAGCAUUAGCAUAUAGCAUUAGCAUAUCCUAGUCUUUAGCAUAGCUUUUAGUGUUAUACAUACUUAUUUAGUGUUAGCUUGGCUGUUGGAUAUUGUAGUUUAGUUAAUGUUUGGCUGUUAGUGUAAUUAGGAAAGUAGUUCGGGUUUAGUGCUCCAUAUCGUGUUAGCAUGGUGAGAUGGUGUAGUGUAGUAUGGUUGCGGAGCUCUGUCGGGUUGCACUCCUUUCCGCUGGACUUAGAAAUUAGGCGCCAGUGGUUGCGUGUCUGGAAAAGAUUCAGCUCCCGCCUGGUGCUGUAGUUUGCAACCAGCAUUUUACCUGCAAUUCUGCAUGUCUCCGUUCCAAGAGGGAGGCUGUGCCCACCGUGGCUCUUCCGCGAUUUAGAGACAGCCCACCGACUCUGCUCCCCCACCAUGACGGGCUCCAGUCUGAGGCUAAAUCUACCCAAGACACUGGCUGUCAGACUGAUUUAGUAAUCUGCAAGAAUGCACUUGUCCAGGCUGACGUGGUGUUACCCGUAGCAAAGAGCUCACAGCCUCAGUGUCUUGUGACACAGGGACCAUGACAGAAAUUCAUCUUCCAGAAGGUCCCAGAGCAUCCACACCUCCUGAAAAGUCCAAGAUGUGAGGUGUCUGCUGUUGAUUCCAGCUUCCACCUCAGUGACAGUGCAAGCUCAGUGAACUGUUCAAGGAGGCUACUGAUUCUGGCCCUGUGACACUUGGUGGUGACGUGUGAGCUGAUUCACCUGGUAAAUAACUUUUAAAUUAAAUAUUUUGUUUUUGCUAUCAAAAGUAAAUUAACUAAUAACCUGCAUUACUGCAGGACACUCAGCAAAAUAUGGACUCUACACCAUGAGGCAGGCACACGUUAAUAACUCUAUAAGAGCACAUAAGGUGAGCAACACCACAUAUUAUUUUUAUUACUGUACACUGUCCUGGAUUUGUUUUCUUUCUGCAUGAUUUGUUUUCUUUCUGCAUCUCAUCAUUAGCCUGGCUGAUCACCUGAUAACUCCUGUCAUCUGGUUAUGACAGCAUGAGGAUGUCCUCACACACCUGUCAUCUGGUUAUGACAGC